Long non-coding RNA from Anguilla anguilla (European eel), 412 nucleotides. RefSeq lists it as uncharacterized. Lineage: Eukaryota; Metazoa; Chordata; Actinopteri; Anguilliformes; Anguillidae. The transcript has 3 exons. The record is from RefSeq and is a predicted model, not a curated record.
AGGACCCCUGCGAUACGGGUUUGACAGAUAAUCCAGUUCAUAACACAUCGAAAUCGGGCGCUAAGAGCUCCAAUUUAGCAUUUCUUUAAAUUCAAUAGGCCUAACGAAGACUCCUAGCACUCCCUCUAGCGUCAGUAUUACGCGUAUUCCUUCAUUGCUACCUCAAGAGCUUUGGAAGAUGACUGGAUGCAUGAUAAUGGGGUUCAGACUCGGCGGGAAUAUAACGAAGGACAUGCCCAUGAAUUUCUGCAGGUUGGGUGGACUCUCGGGAAACCGAUAGACAAGCACAAUGAUGAUGCCCGAGAACUCGUAGAUGAGAAAGACGAGCAGGUGAGCCUGAGGAGGGAGACGUUGUCGCAGUAGAUGCCCGCGAUGACCGUUUUGCAGAAGGGGAAACGCAGCGUCAGGCCGA